This 2498-nucleotide long non-coding RNA is filed under the name Homo sapiens (human). Its description in RNAcentral is "non-protein coding lnc-ARRB1-1:4". The record is from RNAcentral. Lineage: Eukaryota; Metazoa; Chordata; Mammalia; Primates; Hominidae.
GUUUUCACUUGCCCCCCAUUGCCUAUACCAUGUUGCCUUCCUGGAGUUGGUGGCCUUUGAGCUGGGCCUGGAAGAUUGGGUAGGACUUUAUGAAGUGGGGAUGGAGAGACAAGCUGUGCGAUGGGGAUGAAGAAGAUAACCCAGGUCAGAGGGAACAGCAUAAGCAAAGAUCUUGGCUCAACCAAGAGGCGGACUCACCGUGAUGUGAAUGCAGCUUGAGCAUCCAGGACUCUCCCCAGAUCCAGGGAGGGCCUCAGCGAUGUGUUCACGUUGUCAUAUUUUUAUAAAAUUUGCAAAGACUUUUUUUCCCUGCAAAACCUGGGAAACAAGAGGGAUGAAGGAAUAUAAACAUCCUAAAAGCCUCAUAUUGUUGAAGGAGACUUUGAAAUUCUUGGCGUUGAUAGAUACAUGCUCAGAUAUUUAUUAAACAUUUACAGAUACCAACCAGCAAAAUAAAAAGGGAAUUGGAACUUCUGUACCUCCCUUUUCUUUUAUCAUGUGGGAAAGUCUCAAAGCCCUGGCACUGGGAGCUGCUCAGAAGGCAAGGGCCACAUGUGCCCCCAGCUUCCCCCCACCCCCAGCACAGGGCCAGGAAGCCACUGCUGGUGGCUCCCUGUCUGCUGCCUCCCGAGCAGUAGGUCCCAGCGAGGUGGGGUGGUAAUAGGUUGGGCUGGGAGCAGAUUAGCAAACCCUCUCCUCCCCGCAAGGAAAUAACCAGGCCAGAUAAGACUAGCCAUAAAACAAAACAAGGGCUGAUGUAGAAAAGGAUUGGAUCAUAAGACACGAGCAAGCCAUAGCAUCACUCAUUACACAGAGCUGAGCUUUACUGCUCCCAGCACUACAGUCCUGGGCCUGACACCAGCCCAGGCAUCGGAGAACCAGGUGCCACCCCCAAAAAACAGUGUCACAGAACUAAACAUUAUCCACACUGCCCCAGGUGACACAGACCCAGGCACCCAGGAGAAAAUAGAGAAAUUAGGAUCCUAGUCACAAAGGUCACAGGGACUUUGGUGGCCCCUGGUCACAUGUGUGAAAUCUUGGCAAUGUGUAGGAAUCAGUGAGUGCGCGCUGAGUGUGUGUUUGUCUGAAAUUAGAAAAUACCCAAGUGUGGGCCUGAGUCUCCCUCCCUACCCCAGGGCCCAGACUUGCCCACCCAGGGCCCUAAGGCAGGUGUUGGGCCUCACCCUCAACCGUGGCUCCCUGAGGGCAAGGGCUAGAAUUUCCUGAGAUGGAGAGUGAGUCUCCCCGCUUCAGCUAAGGAUUCCUGGGGCCCCCACACAGGCCUCUUGAAGGCCCUGCCAAGUCUGGGUGUCCCACUCCUGAGGCCAGCUCCGUCCUCCCUGUGGGAGUCUACCCAGGGUCCAGCUCAGUGCUCUGCCUCCAGGGGGCGCCAAAGGGACACUUCUUAAAGGCUGCUGGAGUUGGGGAGGAGAGCUGAGUGUACCCUGACCGCACAGAUGGUCAUAGCUGAACGAGCCUGAAGGCUGGCAAGUUCAUUCCUACCUGACAGGAGAUGGCUAAGGCUCAAAGAAGGUGAUCCAGGCGAGUGCAGACCUGGGCUGGGGCCCAGCAUGGAGGGCAGCCUGGCCCACUAUGGCUCACUUUGCUAUCCUAGGGCCCCAGGGAAAGGUAUACUUCUUUCCACCCAGGAAAGCCUGGCCCCAGGACAGCUGGCUGGCUGGGGGAAGGAGGAAGAAGACCCUCUUGCUCCAGAAAUGGCCAACACAGCAAAUGCCCAAACAACUCUUUGGUUCAGACUAGCAAGCAAAGGCUGAGAGAGGAUCAAUGUCUUGCCUGAAGUCACACAGCAAUUUAGUGGAGGAGCCAGAAUGGAACACAGGGCUCUUGACACCCAAUCUUGGGCAAAGGACUCAGAGGAGGUACUGCUGUGGCUGCUACUCUUGGCCAGGUGGGGCCCCAAGACAGCUCACACUCGGGAAUCCUCUGGCUUCUUCCCUGGCCCCGACACUAGCAAUUGCUGCUCUACGGCAGGGCUGGAUCUGCUCUCUUUGGUCCUUGCCUCUUUGUCCUGCUGCCUCAGGACAGCCAAAACUAAGGCGAAGCAGAUCACAGAACCUGUUUUGAAGAAGAACUGGAGGCCGAUGAACCUGGGGAAAGAAUGGGGACCCUUGAACUCAAGAGCUGCCAGGCCAGGGCAUGGACGUCAGCAGUCAUCACUCAUUGUGAAAUCAGAGAUACUGAGGCCUCAGGGAGACAUUGACCUCUGCUGUGGCUCUUCCCUGGAGGAGGGGGAGAGGCUCUGCAGAGGAGCCCUGGGUGGGAGCAGAGGCCUGGCCAUCUUCAUCGCCCUGUCCUGGACUCUGCUCUGUGGCCUGGCCUGGCCCUGCCUCUCUCCGAGCCCAAGGGCUCAGGGGGCCUGACAAGUGCAAUUUUAUAUUGCGCCACCUGCCACAAGAACAAACGGAUUCCCUCUCCCCUGUUUAACUAUCAAAGCCCUUGUUUGACUUUUCCUUUUCUAGGAAGCCCCCUGUGGACAG